RNAcentral lists this long non-coding RNA (237 nucleotides) under Sorghum bicolor (sorghum). Its description in RNAcentral is "long non-coding RNA (SBIC_LNC011752)". Lineage: Eukaryota; Viridiplantae; Streptophyta; Magnoliopsida; Poales; Poaceae. The record is from RNAcentral.
UUAGUUUCCCACCCAAAAUUUUUUCAUCCAUCCCAUCGAAUCUUUGGACACAUGCAUGGAACAUUAAAUGUAGAUAAAAAAAUAAACUAAUUACACAGUUUAGUUGAGAAUCGCGAGACGAAUCUUUUAAGCCUAGUUACUCCAUGAUUAGCCUUAAGUGCUACAGUAACCCACAUAUGCUAAUGACAGAUUAAUUAUGCUUAAUAAAUUUGUCUUGAAGUUUCCUGACGAGCUAUG